CAUGGAGAACGUACUGCAAAGUAUUAGGGGAUGGCAGUAUAAUACAGGUUAGCAUUUCUAUGUGUGUAAUAUUUGUGUUCUUGCCUGGCUGUCAGCACCUAUAUUAGGACAUGUAAUAAUCUUGAAUGUAGUUGGUUCAUUUUAACAAAAGAUGAUUUUAUUAAUCACUGAUAAAUACAACAUAUUCCUCUUUACAAUUAGGUACUGCCUAAAUCUUGCUAUAUCUAUUUUUUCAGCAUUCUGGGGAAACCUUGUUUCCAAACCUCCAGUUGAUUUCAGACAAUAGGUUGAGCUUCCCUGUGUGGCUGGGUCUCUCCAGGCGCAUUUCCCGGCAGUUUCCAAGAUAAGAGUGCCUCUGAACUGAGAGAAGAGUUCUCCUCUCUGACCUUCCUGGAGAACCAAAUUUUAAUGGGUCUUCGAAC
This is a long non-coding RNA of Strigops habroptila (Kakapo), 422 nucleotides long. RefSeq lists it as uncharacterized. The transcript is spliced from 2 exons. The record is from RefSeq and is a predicted model, not a curated record. Lineage: Eukaryota; Metazoa; Chordata; Aves; Psittaciformes; Psittacidae.